Molecule: ribosomal RNA, 468 nt
Filed under: uncultured bacterium
Lineage: Bacteria
Description: partial 16S ribosomal RNA
Rfam family: Bacterial small subunit ribosomal RNA
Source: RNAcentral
GACGAACGCUGGCGGCGUGCUUAACACAUGCAAGUCGAACGGAAAGGCCCUGCUUUUGUGGGGUGCUCGAGUGGCGAACGGGUGAGUAACACGUGAGUAACCUGCCCUUGACUUUGGGAUAACUUCAGGAAACUGGGGCUAAUACCUGAUAGGAGCUCCUGCUGCAUGGUGGGGGUUGGAAAGUUUCGGCGGUUGGGGAUGGACUCGCGGCUUAUCAGCUUGUUGGUGGGGUAGUGGCUUACCAAGGCUUUGACGGGUAGCCGGCCUGAGAGGGUGACCGGCGACAAUGGGACUGAGAUACGGACCAGACGCGUACGGGAGGCAGCAGUGGGGAAUAUUGCACAAUGGGCGGAAGCCUGAUGAAGAAACGCCGCGUGCGGGAUGACGGCCUUCGGGUUGUAAACCGCUUUCGCCUGUGACGAAGCGUGAGUGACGGUAAUGGGUAAAGAAGCACCGGCUAACUACGUG